CCCCGUCCGAACUCAGACCACGCAUCUCGCUGUUCCUCAAAAACAUGCCUCGUGACAAAACAUGAGAGGUCCAGCCUGCCCAGUGACAAAGUUCAACGGCCGCGGUACCCUAACCGUGCGAAGGUAGCAUAAUCACUUGUUCUUUAAAUGAGGACUUGUAUCAACGGCACUACGAGGGCUAUACUGUCUCCUUUUUCUAAUCAGUGAAACUGAUCUCCCCGUGAAGAAGCGGGGAUCAAAAUAUAAGACGAGAAGACCCCAUGGAGCUUUAAACUCACUAUACACCUCUGUGCCUCGAUGCCAUAAAACACAAGAGAUCUGUAUACUAGUUUUAGGUUGGGGGGACCACGGAGUACAAUUUAACCUCCAUAACAAAUGGGCUAACACCCUUAUCCACGAGACACAACUCUAAGAAUUACUAAACUAAUGCUUACGACCCGAUAUUCGAUCAAUGAACCAAGUUACCCUGGGGAUAACAGCGCAAUCUACUUCAAGAGUCCAUAUCGACAAGUAGGUUUACGACCUCGAUGUUGGAUCAGGGUAUCCCAGUGGUGCAGCCGCUACUGACGGUUCGUUUGUUCAACGAUUAAAACCCUACGUGAUCUGAG
This 608-nucleotide ribosomal RNA is filed under the name Rana dalmatina (agile frog). RNAcentral's name for it is "partial 16S ribosomal RNA". It matches the Rfam family "Bacterial large subunit ribosomal RNA", at positions 1767 to 2609 of the family's 2925-position model. Lineage: Eukaryota; Metazoa; Chordata; Amphibia; Anura; Ranidae. The record is from RNAcentral.